Molecule: long non-coding RNA, 607 nt
Filed under: Olea europaea subsp. europaea
Lineage: Eukaryota; Viridiplantae; Streptophyta; Magnoliopsida; Lamiales; Oleaceae
Source: RNAcentral
CUUGCGGGUUAAAAUUGGUCAAACAAAUAUAUCAAAAAUCAACCCUUACAUUGCCCUUUUUAUAAGUCGUUUCCAACAAAUCUGAUAUACAUGAGCUGAAAACCCGAGAAGGAUAGACCACAACACAAAUCUCUAACCCAAACCCUAAACCUCAAAUCAAAUUGUAAACUUUACGUAGAUUAAACCCAAAAUCCCAUUGUUGAAGACUGAGAACUAUGAGAAGGCUGAACCAUUAAACCUGAUAUUGCAAAACCGAACCCUGACUUGCAAAUCAAUUUUGGACAUCCAUUGGAGAACUCCCAAAACCUAACAUACGAGUUGCAUAGCGAACGAUAUCUAACCAUGGGAUGAGAAACAAACCGCAGUCUGAGAAACAGAGAAAGCAGUUACUGGGAGCUAAAGUUUGGUAUGCAAUUUUUCUGUAUUAUGAAGAUUUGUUUGCUAAUGAUUUACAGUUUGUUGUGUACAUAUUAACAAGUGUCAAUAUGUUUUCCUAUAAAUGUUGAUCCUAUCAUUGUGAGAAAAGAAAAAUGUAAUCAAAUUUGGGAGAAAUAGUAAUUUUUAUUUUCAGUGGCAUCAAUUAAUGGUAAAAGAAAGCUUGAAUAUA